CAAGGGACAUGAACUGGCUAUCACCCUUCAGGGACACUGAUGCUCCUACAUGAUGGUGAAGAACAAGUUUACAUGGAUUUGGCCUCAUGGCUCCAAGCAGUGCCCAAGCAUGAUCACCCAGGUGAAUGGAUACGUCCAACCGAAUGCUUUGACAUUCAAGCUAGAAUCCCUCUGGCAGAGAAGCAGAAAAUCAAGGUGAAAUCACUCAAGGGAAAACACGGAGAUCCCCCCUAUCUCCACCCCAAU
Long non-coding RNA from Gopherus flavomarginatus (Mexican gopher tortoise), 246 nucleotides. RefSeq lists it as uncharacterized. NCBI's taxonomy places the organism in Eukaryota, Metazoa, Chordata, Testudines, Testudinidae. The transcript is spliced from 3 exons. The record is from RefSeq and is a predicted model, not a curated record.